RNAcentral lists this RNase P RNA (370 nucleotides) under Candidatus Woesearchaeota archaeon. Its description in RNAcentral is "RNase P RNA component". It matches the Rfam family "Archaeal RNase P". From Rfam's summary of the family: Ribonuclease P (RNase P) is a ubiquitous endoribonuclease, found in archaea, bacteria and eukarya as well as chloroplasts and mitochondria. Its best characterised activity is the generation of mature 5'-ends of tRNAs by cleaving the 5'-leader elements of precursor-tRNAs. Cellular RNase Ps are ribonucleoproteins. Lineage: Archaea; Nanobdellati; Candidatus Woesearchaeota. The record is from RNAcentral.
GGGUUAGUACUUAGCUUCGGCAAUGUGAUUGCUGAGGAAAGUCCGCCCACUACAACCGCAAAAUCGGUUGACGCUUUGCGGGACAUUCGCUAUCGCGAAGUCCCGAGUAGCCACUCACGGAAGUGAGCUCUAGAAAAUAGAGGGCAACCACUCAGAAACGAGACCGCCUUAAAGGAGCAUGAUGUGGAGAAGGAUUUGGUGACAAAUCUGAGAUAACCCACUGACAUUCUUUUAGGAAUGGGUGAAACGGUGAGUCCUGGCUGGUGCAAGUCAAUGGUCUAGUACCAGACGCUUAGUUUAAUGCUAAGACAGGCUAUCGCAAUGCAAAUAUUGCACUUAGGGCCUGACAAAAGGCGGCUUACUCUAACCC